Molecule: non-coding RNA, 77 nt
Organism: Podarcis lilfordi (Lilford's wall lizard)
Lineage: Eukaryota; Metazoa; Chordata; Lepidosauria; Squamata; Lacertidae
Source: the annotation of a GenBank genome assembly
UUCACCCUUAGAUCAGUCAGUAGAGCAUGAGACUCUUAAUCUCCAGGUUGUGGGUUUGAGCUCUACGUUGGGUGAAA